AAGUAGUAAUAGUUAAAAUCUUGAAACUUAAGAGAUUUGGCAGUAUUUUAUCUUAUUAGAGGAAUCUGUUUAUUAAUUGAUAAUCCACGAUUAAUUUACUUUUAUUAAAUAACUUGUAUAUCGUUGUCAUGAAUCUAUUUAAAAAUUAUUUUCAUUAAAAUUUAUGUUAAAUCAAGGUGCAGUUUUUAAAGUCUAAAUGGAUUACAUUAAAAUAUGAAAGAAAUUGGAUUUAAAAGUAAUAAUAUAGUAAUAUUGAAUAUAGAUUCUAAAAUAUG
RNAcentral lists this ribosomal RNA (275 nucleotides) under Tenaphalara acutipennis. Its description in RNAcentral is "partial 12S ribosomal RNA". Lineage: Eukaryota; Metazoa; Arthropoda; Insecta; Hemiptera; Carsidaridae. The record is from RNAcentral.